Macaca mulatta (Rhesus monkey) is the source of this 1830-nucleotide non-coding RNA. Lineage: Eukaryota; Metazoa; Chordata; Mammalia; Primates; Cercopithecidae. The record is from RefSeq and is a predicted model, not a curated record.
AGACCCUGUCUCAACAAAAAAUACAAAAGACAGGGAUUGGGGGAAGAAAAAAAAUACAAAGGCAAUUCUGCGUACUCUCUGUCCCAUGCCCCCUGAUGGAGCAUCUUGCCUAAUGACAGUGCCAGUCACAGCGGGGUGGGGGUGGGGGGUGCGACACUGAGGCCAGCAUUGCUGUCACCACGGGGACCCCUAUGUCCCCUCUUAUAGCCAUACCCACUUUCCUCUUGCCCGCUUCCCUCCCUUUGACCCCUGGCAACCGUGUCCUUUGUUUCUGUGAUUUAGUCAUUUCACGGAUGUUAUAUAAGUGGAAUUGUAUUGUACACCAUCUUCCCAGAUGGACUUUUAUCACUCAGCAAAAUUCUCCGGAGAUGCACCCAGGCUGUUGCAGGAACCAUUAUUACACUUGCUCGGCCCCAGGAGACACACUGGAAGAGGACAGAAAACCUUCAGCUGUGACGAAGGAAUCACCACCGUGGGGCGGAGGCAGCCCAGGUGCCUUUCCCACCUGCGGCAUUCGGGGAGGUAGGCACUGCUACGAAGACCAGAGUCUGCUCGUGAGGGUCCAUAAAACAUGACCCCAACUCAGCAGGCCCACAGAGGGGUGGAAGAACUCUCCCAGGGUCACACAGCCAGUGCUGGAACAAGGACACGGUGGGAGAACUGAGUGUGAACACACGUCCACCUGAUGUAAAUGCCCGGUCCCUCCAGCCUCCACAGCUGACAUCCAAGUGGGACAGUUCCAAGAAUCUUGGAGAAGGGACCCAAGGGCACAGUGUGAUUGACUCAGGGACAGGCCUCACCUGUCGGUGAGUGGGGUGAUGACCAGCCGCGGCGUGUUGCCCAGAUACUCGUAGGAAUACUGGAUUUGGGCAUCGCAGAUGUUGGCAAAACAGUGUCGCUUCUCUUCAUCCCAGCGAUGCCGGAGCUGGGCCUGCCAGGUGAAGGCCUGAGAACUCUCCACCUGCAGGAUGAGCCGGAGCUCUUGUUGCCAAGCGGAAUGCAAGAGCUGGGGCUGGGUGAGGAAGGCCAGCAUGCCUCCAAGACUGGCCCCCGGGUGCCCGGGGAACCCUCCCUGGCCCUCUUUCCCCCUCCAGCGCCCACGUCCAACUGUGUGGCCACCCUCAGUGGAAUCUCGCUACGGAAUGGCACUUCCAAUGGGCGGGCACCGCUCCUCUGACCACUAUGUGUGGCUCACCAGGGGUGAGUCCGGGCAAGGGGGGUAGGAGGCAGCCGCAGCCAGCAACAGAGUCAGUGCCCCAGCAAGAGGAAGUCGCAGGGUCUGGAGUCCCUGAAUGCACUGCCCUGAACCCAGUGUCCCCUUUCCCUUCCCCAGGUCCCUGGGACGGGGCACUCGUGCCUUGGCCACGAUCAUUUUGGCCACCACGUCCCGCGCGUGCACAUCGAUGGUGCAGAUGGUCAUGAUCUUCAUCCUGUCGCCAGCGUUGAGGUUCCCAAUGAGCAGCGUGAUGAGUGCAUUCAGCUGGCUAAUCUGCGGGGGACAGGUGCUUUCACUGAGAUGCCACGGAUGCCUAUGUGCACUGGGGGGUCUUGUGGCUGGGUGCCCGCAGCUGCAUAGGGAACACUGCCAUGGUCUUGUUUACAGUAAGGAAAAACAGGAGCGCCCUCGGUAGGCCCCAGCCAGGCACUGGUUUCACUGUGAUGUGGCCCUGAUGGGACACCUUGGAGCCGCUAGCACGGACGUAGUAGAAGGAAAUUCAAGGCCAUGAAAGAGAGUGGAUAACAAGCAAAAACAGCUGACUUUAACACCAUCCAGCGAGUCUGUAUAUUUUUUCAUAUAAAUCAAUUAUACACACAUAGUGUAGCAGGUUG